CGAGGAGGUAGGGCUUACGCUCGCGUUUGUCUGUUAUAUCUUGGUGGACGAGUCGUCGUGGUUGGGACUGAGGUGCCUACAACGUGCUUUUGAGUGGGUUUGUGUCUCCGUGUGCGCCGUGUGCGGAUAGCUUGCUAUGUAUGUGCGGUUGUGUGUGGAUUGAUGCGGGCUUUAACUUGUCGCCGUUCGGGACGUUGACGAAAUGGAGCGAUCCGACCCGUCUUGAAACACGGACCAAGGAGUCUAACAUGUGUGCAAGUGUUAGGGUGUGGAAACCCCAGCGCGAAAUGAAAGUGAAGGGCAGCGCAAGUUGUCUGAGGUAGGAAACGUUGCGGGCUUCGGUCUGCGGCGUGGCACUAUCGACCGAUCAUGAACCUUCGUGGUGAAAGAUUUGAGUUUGAGCACAUAUGUUGGUACCCGAAAGAUGGUGAACUAUGCCUGAGUAGGGUGAAGCCAGGGGAAACUCUGGUGGAAGCUCGUAGCGAUUCUGACGUGCAAAUCGAUCGUCAAACUUGGGUAUAGGGGCGAAAGACUAAUCGAACCAUCUAGUAGCUGGUUCCCUCCGAAAUUUCCCUCAGGAUAGCAGCAACUUAUUUACGAUAGUUUUAUGAGGUAAAGCGAAUGAUUAGAGGAUUCGGGGAAGAAACUUCCUCGACCUAUUCUCAAACUUUAAAUCUGUAAGACCUGCAGGUUUCUUAAU
This 700-nucleotide ribosomal RNA is filed under the name Pseudoperonospora cubensis. RNAcentral's name for it is "LSU rRNA". It matches the Rfam family "Eukaryotic large subunit ribosomal RNA", at positions 442 to 1095 of the family's 3401-position model. Lineage: Eukaryota; Oomycota; Peronosporomycetes; Peronosporales; Peronosporaceae. The record is from RNAcentral.